Long non-coding RNA from Gallus gallus (chicken), 2080 nucleotides. RefSeq lists it as uncharacterized. The transcript is spliced from 3 exons. The record is from RefSeq and is a predicted model, not a curated record. Lineage: Eukaryota; Metazoa; Chordata; Aves; Galliformes; Phasianidae.
UGGCUCUGGAAGGAAUUGCUGACAUUUCUUUCUCUCCUCCUUUCCUCUCACAGCACAAUACAGCUCUUGCUUUUCUCUUUCACUGUGGUUCUCAAGUCCUCUGCUGGGGGCUGUGAAAUGCCUUCUGCUGGUACCCUGUGAACUUACCCAACCCAAUCCUCCUGCUCACCGACCCACUCAUCUGCUCCAGCACAGCCAUCCUAGCAGACCUUUGGUGACUUUCAUUCUGUAGCAUGUUUCCUCUGUGUAGUCUGAGAGCCCAGCUGCUCUAUGCGUGUACCUGUUGCAGAAAUCAGCGUGUGCCUGCUUGAGGUGCCAGGCAGCUCGUGACAGAUGUCAAGUCCAAGUAAAGCUCUUGGUGGGGACCAAGUGUGGUAAUAAAGCUGCACAACGCUAUUGAUUCAGCUGAAACUGCAAUAGCCUUUUCACCCAGCUUAGAAGUAAAACAAAGAUCUGGCAGCUCUGGAGAAGCAAUCAUCCUUUGAAACAGUCCAGGGAUAAAAGGUAGAUUAAAUCUAGUAGGCAAAACGAUGGCAAUUUUUCCUCUACCUUAUUAGCCCUGGUCAAACCCCAGAGAGCAGUGUAUUUAGAGAGUGCUCCUUUAAAGACAGGGGGAAAAGGCAAGUGCUACAUUUCAUCUGGUAAAUGAUUUCUGGAGUUGCAUUCCUGUGCAUUCAUGCACAAAUUGAGAGCGCUGCUGAGCCUCAAAUAUCCGCAGGCCUAAUGGUGAGAUCCAAGACAACGUGUGACAAAUGGCAACGCGUACCCUCCAGCACCGGGAACGCCAAUGAUGGAAACGCAGCCACAUGCUGCAGUGUUUCAUCUCACUUUGGGCUGACAGGCGAGCGAUGUGAGCAAUGCAAGUCCCAAGUGUUUGUGUGCUGCCGGCUGCUGCACAGCCUUGGGGUGCGGAAUGUUCCCGUCAGCCUUUCCCAUCGCUGUCCUGCUGAGCGACUGCUGCUGUGGAGCCAUGGAUGCCCACUGCAGGCAGAGGUGACUCACCUGGGGGAUGUGAGGCAUCUUGUGCUGCCGUGUGGCAGCCGCUGAGCAGAAGUGCUGCAGCAUACAGCAGCAGACAGGAACUCUAAUCCCAGUGCUCUGCACACUUUGAUGCAGGGCCGCAGCCCCUGCUCAGUGCACUGGAAAUUACCUCGGACAAAGUGAUUCCUCUCCAGCCUUUCCUGCAUGCAUGCAUGUCAACUUUACCUGCACCGUGCACAACCCAAUAGCUCACAGAGGUCUGUGAAAGCACAUGCAGCAUUUCACAGAAUCAUAGGAUUGUUUGAGUGGGAAGAGACUCUUAAAGGACACCUAGUCCAACACCCCUGCAACGAGCAGGGACACCUGCAGCUCAGUCAGGUGCUCAGCAUCCUGUCCAGCCUGACCUUCAGUGUCUCCAGGGGCGAGCUUCCACCACCUCUCUGGGCACCCUCCUCCAAUGUCCCUUAAUGUAAAAAAAUGCCUUCUUUCCUAAUAUCCAAUCUGAAACUCUUUUAGUUUGAAACCACUUCCCCUUGUCCUUUUACAGCAGUCCCUGCUAAAAAGUCUGUCCCUUUCCUUCCUAUAGCCCCCCUCUAUAUACCGAAAGGUUGCUACCAGGUCUUCCCAGAGCAUUCUCUUCUCCAGGCUGAACAGCCCCAGACAGCCCCCAGGUGCUGAUGGGUGAACUAAGGCCUGGUGGGUUUAACUGCACUGGGAGAGGAAAAAGCACCACCUACUGCGCAACUGCACUGAAGGCUCUGCUGUCACUCUUACGCAGUUUCUGGUACAACACAGUCCUGACCCAACUAUCCGGAUGAAUGAGCCGAUGCUAAGGAGCUGCUUGCUGGCCCGAGUGCACUUUCUUUUUGGCCAGCACUGCCUGUAACGAAGAAAUACUGGAAAUGAUGUGGAUGGGGAUAUCACCGAGUCAGCUUCUCACAGAACAAGGAAAAAACGUAACUGGUUGCCUGCCCCUACCUGAGUGCGCUCCACUGGGAGAAACAGACAUUUCAGAACUCCCCGCAUGUCCUCCUUGCUGUAUUUUGGGAUCAGUGUUCAUGGAAAAAAAAAAAAAAAAAAAAAAAUCCUUGCUGUUCUC